CUUUAGGAUCCUAGUCAGAAGGGCAGGCACGGCAGGCCUGUGGCGCAGGUGGCUGUCCCAGCCUCGGGAAUGUGCCGAGUAAUUUUCUUUUAAAUAUUAUUACUCAAAUGGCAACAGACAAUUUCAGGGCUCUGGCGGAGAAUCUGAGGACCGCGGAGACGCAAGCCCGACCGGGCAACCCCUGGGGCCUCCAGGCCGGAGAGGGGACCGCCUCUGGGAGCCAGGAGUCCCGGCCGGGGACCGGGUGACUCGGGGCUCUCGGGCUGCUCCGGGGGCCUGGAGGCGCGAGGCCCCGGGCCGCAGCGCAGCCCCAGCCCGGCCCGCCAGCAGGUGGCGCUGUGCGCGGUCCUCAGACGCUGCGCGCCCAGGCGUGGGACACCGCGAGCAGUCCGACCCCAGGCCCGGCGCGGCCCAGACAGUGUUCCCAGGGGCUCCCGCCGGCGGCACGGCAGUGAUUCCCCAGGCCCACCCCGUCCGGCCGGAGGCUGCGUGGGCCGGGAAGAGAAUCAGCAUCACUGUGGAGUGAGGGGCCUCUGCCAGCCAAUCGUGCUGACAUGAAAACACACAAAACCGCCAUCCACAGAUGUGCACACACGCACGCCUCGCCAACACAGCUUCAGCUCAUUUGCAAAACCCAAAGCUGCUUGCAGGUGAGCUGGUGAACGAGAAGCAGGAAGAGGAAGCUCUUGAGGAAACAGUCAGCUCCGCCCCUGCGAGAAUGAGGCCGAACCCAAACCGCAGUGGAAAUGUCAGCACUGAGGAGGCGCAUCGCGGCUUGGCUUGUGGUGGACCCACUGCAUUUAUUGUAACUGGGUAACCCGAGUCUGUCCUGUCCCCAGUCCCCAGCACCACUGCCCCAUUCUAACAGGGUCAGCCAAGUUAAUUCUGCUAUGGAAAAGUGAAAGGAAAAGAGACACCAUAUUAAAGAAUCUUACCACAGUGAUAUAUGCACACCCAUGUUCAUAGCGGCACAGUGCAUAAUAGCUAAAGCUUGGAAACAGCCCAAGUGCCCGUCAACUGGAAACUAGAUAAAGAAGAUGUGGGUUUUUUUAUAAAAUGGAGUACUACUCAGCCAAAGGAAUGAGAAACUAGAGGCAUUUUAUAGCUAAAUGGAUGCAUAUUGAGGCCAUCCUCUUAAGUGAAAUAAAUAGGACACACACACGUGUAAAUACCGAAUCGUUUCUCUAGUGUGAGAAACUGAAACUGUAAUUAAGGAUUAAAAUGCUUAAAAUGAAUAAUGGAUAAUUUGAAAUAAGAAGAAAAGGUCCAAAGGGGUUGGGGAAGUAGGAGGGGUAAGGGAAAGGAAAAAUGAGAAAUGGAAAAAAUGGAAACAAAGUCUUUGUAAAUAGGGAAGGGUGGAGGGGUGCAGGGAGGACAGGGAAUGGGGAAAAAAUAAGAACCAAGAUGCAUCAUGCACAGGUACAAGCACCCAAUGAUAAAUGUAAAUGUAUUGUAUACCUAAAAUGUACCAAUAAAAGAAUUUAAGCAAAAAAAGACUAUAUUUACUACAAUAACAGAAGGAAAGCCCAGGAACUAAGGGUGUAUGAAGUUGAAAGAGAAAGCCGGAUCUGGGAGUCACACCCAUGCUCCCAGCAUUUGGGAGGCUGAGGCAGGAGGACUGUGUCAAGGUUGAGGCCAGCCUGGGCUGCAUAGUGAGACCCUGUUGAGAGAGUGUGUGCAGUGAAGUAAUUCAGUAUCUGACAGAAUAUAAUGCCCUGCUCAGCUGGUGUGUGCCAAGGUCCAAGGACAUGAUGUCUUUCUACUUCUGUGCCAAAAUAUAAACACACAAGGAUGCUGGAGAUCCCCAUAGUCAGGUUCCAGUAGCCACCUGCCCAGUGUGUGAUGCAGGCCUGAGAAAAAGAAUACACUAAGAGACAGAACUAGGAGAGAAAGCGGGGCAGGAUGACCAACGCUGGUGCAACCGACAAAGGCCUGGCCAGUCCCAGGCGCUGACUUUUAUUGGCAAUCAGUUGGGGUAAAGGUGAUGUGUGGUUUCUAUGGAAAUUAAUGUAAACAAGGCUCAUAAAGAACAAGAUGAGUCAGGAACAGAAUAGACAAAAUAUAUGGUUGUAAUUAGAACACUGUCCUAGUCUGAAGGUUUAAAUUGUGGGAACAGAAUUUGGGUGUGAGAUACUUUGACCUUGGCAUGUAGGCUUCGGCCAGACACUCCUAUAAACAAGCCAGUCAUGGGGUUAACUCUUCACUGCCUGCCUUGGGCGUGAUCAAUAUUACAGUCCUCUGCACAAGGAUUUUAGAAAGUCUCACCCAUCCAUCUGAG
RNAcentral lists this long non-coding RNA (2278 nucleotides) under Heterocephalus glaber (naked mole-rat). Its description in RNAcentral is "lncRNA (ENSHGLG00100035152.1)". The record is from RNAcentral. Lineage: Eukaryota; Metazoa; Chordata; Mammalia; Rodentia; Bathyergidae.